This is a long non-coding RNA of Platichthys flesus (European flounder), 1689 nucleotides long. RefSeq lists it as uncharacterized. The record is from RefSeq and is a predicted model, not a curated record. Lineage: Eukaryota; Metazoa; Chordata; Actinopteri; Pleuronectiformes; Pleuronectidae. The transcript is spliced from 3 exons.
UAAGCGAUAUAGUGGUUUGAAAUUUACGUGACGUCACAGUGAGCUGCGCCCUCCCUUCUCCUUACUUUUUCCUGUGUCAUUGAACACAACUCGAGACUUUCGAAACCUCCCACUCAGUAUCGGAUGAAUAACACAGUUUGAUGUUUUGCUUGUUCUGCUGACGGACACGUUAAAGACGUCUGCGCUCCCGUUUCUGUGCAUGUCCAGCAUGAGACAACUGGAAUUCAACCACAUUGAACACCGACUUCAGGGACAGACGAGCCUGAAGGACACAGCUGUGAUGACCAUGUUCUGUCUCUUAUGGCAAAGCAGAAAUAUAAAACACUGGGUUCUUAUCUAAAGUGUAUCAAAUCAGAUCUCCACCAUGUUGCUGCUGAGGACAUCAGGUGCUGCAGUUCUUCAUCUAUGAAGAGAAAAAACGCACUGUUAAAGAAUGUUUUGUGUUGUGUAUAAAGCACAACAGAUUUCUGAUAGAACUGUUGUACUGUGGUCUUGGUUUAUAUCCUCAUGGUGAAAUGUACAUAUUUUAAGUCCCUUCUGAUAAAAGUGCUGAAAGAAAUACAACAUUGUACAAAUACAUAAAAUGUCUUUCUACCUCAUCAGUACUAUUCAAGGUGAUAAACUCCCACAGACCUAUUGAUAACAGUCCAAAUCAAGUCUUUCCACUUCUCUCAGUGUGAAAACAUAAUUCUAUAAUUAAUUUGAGAACUGUUUACAACACUGAUGUGUGGAGAUUAAAAUCAUACCUAAACUGUCUAAUUCACUGUAAAACUCCAUGACAUUCGCAGGCCAUCUGUAGUUAAGGGAGCAACGCAUGGAAUGAUGUGUAGAUUACUAGUUUGAUGAUGCAUGAGGAGAGGCGGUGGUCGAGUGGCAGAAACUUGGACUAUGGGCAGAGAAGGUCUCUGGUUCGUCUUUGGUUCGACUCCAUGGAGAGACAACAAAAGUCGAACCUGGAUUGAUCUGUCCAAAAAUCCAAGAGUCUCCCUACCCUCUCUAGUGCCCAUGAGCAAGGCACCUCACUCCCCCAACAUCUGCUCCCCCGAGCGCCGUACAUGGUCGCUCACUGCUCUGUGUGUCCUGCACCAGAUGGGUAAAAAGCAGCGAUUAAAUUUCCCUACCUGCAUGAGUGUGCCUUUGCAUGUCUGUGCAUGUGUUUGGGAUGAAUAAAUGGAUUUUAAUCUUAAUCUUUUAAUCUUAAUCAGUUGUCUUCCAGUUGACCAGCAUGAAGCUGCAGAUCUCCACCAUGUUGCUGCUGGGGACAUCAGGAGCUGCAUUAAUGAGGAGCAGAAGCGUACUGUUAUGAAUGUUUUGUGUUGUUUAUGAAGCACUACUUAUUUCAGCUAGAACCGAUGUACUAGGGUCUGGGUUUGUAUCCUAAUGGUUAAAUGCACAUACUUUAAAUCGCUUUUGAUAAAACGUGACAAAGAAAUACAACAUUGUACACAUAGAUAAAAUGUCUUUCUACCUCAUCUGUAAUAUUCAAGGUGAUGAUCUCCCACAGAGCUGUUGAUAACAGUCCACAUCAAGUCUCUCCACUUCCCUCAGUGUGAAAACAUAAUUAUAUAAUUAAUUGGAGAAGUGUUUACAACACUGAUGUGUGGACAUUAUAAUGUUAUCACUACUGUCUAAUUCACUCUACAACUCCAUGACAGACUAAAUAAACAAUGUGAAAAUAGUAAUGGCGGA